ACAACGUGGUUGUGUGUUUAUGUAGGGAUUUUUUAAAUUUGUUUAUCAUGGCAGACGAUUCCGUUAUUGAUGAAAUUCCCGCAGAAAUGAAAAAAAAACUGUUUUCGUUUAACACAGCCCUUACAGAACUGGAAACAACGCUGGACCCUCUAAUAUCGUGUCCGCACUCGGUCCUGUCAGAAAGUUUGGAAUCGCUAGAAUUGGGGAAAAUGGAGCUAGUCACUGCAUACACAAUAAACUCAUUGUUUUGGAUGUAUCUAAAUGUGUGUGGUGUUAACCCUAAAGAACAUGCAGUGAAGCAGGAACUGGAGAGAAUACGAAGCUACAUGAAACGUGUGACGGAGAUUCAAGAGAAGGCCAACGCCCCGAAACUGAACAAACCAGCAGCUAAACGCUUCAUUAAAAGUGCCCUGUGGCAGGCCGCACAGAACAAAGGAGAAAAGCCAUCGAAUACAGAAGUUUUUUCAGCAGGAAGAAAGAGAAAAGUGCCACCAUAAUUGUUGUUGUAUUAGUUUACAAACAGUAAACUUGGUGUUCCUGUCCGUUUAAACUGUGAUUGCCAAUGUGCACUGUUUUACUGCCAAAUGUGAAUGUCAAGCUUUGUGCCAGAAAAAAUACGUUGAGGUUGCAGAGUUCUGUUCUGAGUGUUCGACUUUGCGCAAAGCUGAAAUGACCUUACUACCCAAUGAGAAUGAACAUCCCAUGGCCUUGACAACUUAAAUUGUGACUCUACAGGCCCAUUAUUGAUGCUGUGCACUGCACUGUGUGCCCUCCCUGAGAAGUUUCUGCUGAAAGUUGUGUGUCUUGUUUUUUGACACCCUGCAACAGCCGGUGCUGGUAUGUUCAUGCAGAGACACAGGAGCCGGAAGUUUUGAACCCCAAUGGGCAUUAUAGUGAGACCGAUCUGCACAGAUACAUUUGGCUGAGCUGCCUUACGACCUCGGGACUUUUGGUUGGAAUUGUCGACCUCUGUGUACAAGUUGUACAUACUAGAGUGGUAUGUACA
Gigantopelta aegis is the source of this 1006-nucleotide RNA transcript. It is a transcript of the gene named nuclear nucleic acid-binding protein C1D-like, with no coding region annotated. The transcript is spliced from 7 exons. The record is from RefSeq and is a predicted model, not a curated record. Lineage: Eukaryota; Metazoa; Mollusca; Gastropoda; Neomphalida; Peltospiridae.